Molecule: ribosomal RNA, 430 nt
Filed under: uncultured bacterium
Lineage: Bacteria
Description: partial 16S ribosomal RNA
Rfam family: Bacterial small subunit ribosomal RNA
Source: RNAcentral
CCUACGGGUGGCUGCAGUCGAGAAUCUUCGGCAAUGGACGCAAGUCUGACCGAGCGACGCCGCGUGCGGGAUGAAGGCCUUCGGGUUGUAAACCGCUGUCAGUGGGGAGGCCUAUCCGCAGAGGAAGUGUGGGCUAAGUUCGUGCCAGCAGCCGCGGUAAGACGAACCACACAAACGUUAUUCGGAAUUACUGGGCUUAAAGGGUGCGUAGGCGGCGUGGAAAGUUGGGUGUGAAAUCCCUCAGCUUAACUGAGGAACAGCGCCCAAAACUACCAUGCUCGAGGGAGAUAGAGGAAUGCGGAACUUAGGGUGGAGCGGUGAAAUGCGUUGAUAUCCUAGGGAACACCGGUGGCGAAAGCGGCAUUCUGGUCCUUCUGACGCUGAGGCACGAAAGCUAGGGUAGCAAACGGGAUUAGAUACCCUUGUAGUC